UACGGGGGGGGCAAGCGUUGUUCGGAAUUACUGGGCGUAAAGGGCUCGUAGGUGGCCAACUACGUCAGACGUGAAAUCCCUCGGCUUAACCGGGGAACUGCGUCUGAUACUGGAUGGCUUGAAUUCGGGAGAGGGAUGCGGAAUUCCAGGUGUAGCGGUGAAAUGCGUAGAUAUCUGGAGGAACACCGGUGGCGAAGGCGGCAUCCUGGACCGAGAUUGACGCUGAGGCGCGAAAGCCAGGGGAGCAAACGGG
This 253-nucleotide ribosomal RNA is filed under the name uncultured bacterium. RNAcentral describes it as "partial 16S ribosomal RNA". It matches the Rfam family "Bacterial small subunit ribosomal RNA", at positions 524 to 776 of the family's 1533-position model. The record is from RNAcentral.